Molecule: ribosomal RNA, 383 nt
Filed under: uncultured eukaryote
Lineage: Eukaryota
Description: partial 18S ribosomal RNA
Rfam family: Eukaryotic small subunit ribosomal RNA
Source: RNAcentral
CAAUAGCGUAUAUUAAAGUUGUUGCAGUUAAAAAGCUCGUAGUUGGACUUCUGGUGGGAGCGAUCGGUCUGGCGCUUAGCGCGAGUACUUGCAUCGUCUCCGGCCAUCCUUGGGGAGAGUCUGUCUGGCAUUAGGUUGUCGGGCAGAGGAUCCUCAUCGUUUACUGUGAAAAAAUUAGAGUGUUCAAAGCAGGCUUAUGCCGUUGAAUAUAUUAGCAUGGAAUAAUAAGAUAGGACUUUGGUACUAUUUUGUUGGUUUGCGCACCAAAGUAAUGAUUAAUAGGGACAGUUGGGGGUAUUCGUAUUCCGUUGUCAGAGGUGAAAUUCUUGGAUUUACGGAAGACGAACUACUGCGAAAGCAUUUACCGAGGAUGUUUUCAUUAA